GAUGAACGCUGGCGGCGUGCCUAAUACAUGCAAGUCGAGCGAACAGACGAGGAGCUUGCUCCUUUGACGUUAGCGGCGGACGGGUGAGUAACACGUAGGUAACCUACCUAUAAGACUGGGAUAACUUCGGGAAACCGGAGCUAAUACCGGAUAAUAUUUAGAACCGCAUGGUUCGAUAGUGAAAGAUGGCUUUGCUAUCACUUAUAGAUGGACCUGCGCCGUAUUAGCUAGUUGGUAAGGUAACGGCUUACCAAGGCAACGAUACGUAGCCGACCUGAGAGGGUGAUCGGCCACACUGGAACUGAGACACGGUCCAGACUCCUACGGGAGGCAGCAGUAGGGAAUCUUCCGCAAUGGGCGAAAGCCUGACGGAGCAACGCCGCGUGAGUGAUGAAGGUCUUCGGAUCGUAAAACUCUGUUAUUAGGGAAGAACAAACGUGUAAGUAACUGUGCACGUCUUGACGGUACCUAAUCAGAAAGCCACGGCUAACUACGUG
RNAcentral lists this ribosomal RNA (497 nucleotides) under uncultured bacterium. RNAcentral's name for it is "partial 16S ribosomal RNA". It matches the Rfam family "Bacterial small subunit ribosomal RNA", at positions 28 to 507 of the family's 1533-position model. The record is from RNAcentral.